RNAcentral lists this long non-coding RNA (2927 nucleotides) under Nicotiana tabacum (common tobacco). Its description in RNAcentral is "long non-coding RNA (NTAB_LNC002922)". Lineage: Eukaryota; Viridiplantae; Streptophyta; Magnoliopsida; Solanales; Solanaceae. The record is from RNAcentral.
UCCAGGAAAGUUUUAAUCACAAUAAUCGAUAUCACACCUUUAAUCUUCACAGUGGAAUUCAUACAAAAUAACCAAGCUACUGAUAAUGGAUAAGAACCAGCUGCUUAAAGUAAGCUAAAAGACCCAAAAAAAAAAAAAAAAAAAUUGGCCAAAAGGGCUAGUACCAAAACCCUAACUAAAAAUAGCCUAUGUCUCUCCGGAUUCAUUAUUGCUGCGAUUUCUGUGGAGGUGCUGCGAUUGUAGCUCUUCUUCAGAAGCUAUUCAAGGAUUGGAAAUAUGCUGUUAUGCUGUGAUUGCAGCUUGGCCUCCUACACUUGCAGCCCUUAUUGAGUUUCUGUCCAGGACCUGAUGUAGUUGGAUUGCGAUCACAGCUCUUUUUUCCCCAAGCUGCCAAAAGCUGAUCUUUUCUCAUCUUUAAAGGCCUUCAUUCCUCUAGGGACCCGACCAUUCAGCUAGGAAACCACUGGAAGUGGAUUGUUGAUCCUUGGUUGCUACGAUUCCCUCCCAUUUGAAAAGAAUUAGUCCUUGAAUUCGAAUCUAGCAACAGGAGGAAGAUUCCUGAAUUAGUAAAUAUUCCCCCAAGGUUAAGAAUGCACCAAGUAAAAUUGACACAAGAUAAUGACCAUGCAUCCUUUUAACCCAAUCGUUCUAGAUGGAGUAGACACUCCUCUAAGCAACAUGUGCACAUCACAUCACAUCACAAGGAAUGUCAUAAUCUCCAAUAUAUCUGCAAAAUGCAUGCCUGAAAACAUGUUACUAAAUAAACCUUGCAAAAUGCUGAUAAUUGUAGGGGGAUCUUUCUGCUGUAGUAUGGAAGUUCUGGAAUUAGCUUAUCCUUUCAGUGCAUUGAUGAUCUAAUUUAGGAUGCUUUCUCCCUUUUUAAAAAUUCUUUUUCCCUUUCACUAGCUUUCUUAGCAUGUCGUGUCUGUACUUAUGCUUGUGUUUGUUUCUUAAUGAUAAUCUUCUACUUUGUAUCAGUGGUUGUUGGAUUCAUACAACACUCAAAUACUUAUCAUGGUGUUUCUGGCUAUAGUGUCUAUGUUACUUGCCGGUUUCCUUGCAUACCACACCAAACUGUGUGUCACAAAUACUACAACGAAUGAGGUAUUCCUUUUUUGUAUUUAAUUCAGUACAGUACAUAUCUCCAGUAGCUUAGGAUGAUUUUUUGGUUUUGCUGUGCAGUCUGACUUUUCUUCUCCUUCAUAGUACCUGCAUUUUCUUUAGAAGUAAGCUUUUGGAACUAUAUGUGUCUACUAACAAUGAACUUCUUGUCUUAUUACUCAAUUUUCUUUUUUUGAUAACUGAGAAAUCCACGAGAGCCAGUGGGGCACAGUUCGAAACUCGGUGCCACUUAAAUACCAGGUUUUUGUCUUUAGCAGGGUUCGAACCCAUGACGUGUAUCUAACCCACACAUCACAAGUUACGUUCUUACCACUAGCCCGAAUCCUUGGGGGCGUUGUAAUAUUAUUACUAUUACAUGGACAUUUUCACCUAGAAGGAAAUAUGGCUUCUGAUCUAUCACUGAACAAAGUUCAGGCCAGUUGGAGACCUUGAAAUCUCAAAAUAUUUCGGCAAACAAGAAAUAAGAAGUCUGCUCUUAUAAGGGGGAUCAAGUAAGUAAACACAAUUUUGACUGACCAACCUAAAAAUAACAAGUUUAAGGACCAGAGGAGCACUAUCUCUUGGUCUGAUAGCAAUCUCUCCUUUGUCUUAAUUUUGACUAGGCAUGAGAAAAAGAAAAGUAAAGAGAAGAAAGGAGGAAGAAGGGGAAACAUAAAAAGAAAAAAAGCAUUGGGACAUUCUAAAUCCUGAUGAUAUCCCCUAUUGAUUCAGCAUACCUCCAAAAUUUUAGGAGUCGAAACAGCGGCAGAAGCUGUUCUUAGCUCUCAUAAAGCUAAAUUUUGCUCGUGUGGACUGCAGACUUUCAAAUGGCAAGAAUAUUUAAACUGGAAGAGGAAAGUCAAUGAAGCAAAGGCAAGUGCAGCAGCUCUCAAAGCAAGUUUAGGUGAAUUGAACCAGGAAAUGACGCGCCCUGUGAGCAAAUGGAAGGCCUUCUUUCGGAGGUCCCAUCUGGAAGAAGUGGAGGUGGUUAAGAAUAACAUUUACGAUAAAGGACUACUCCAGAAUGUCUCUGAGAUUGUAAUUCCUCUUUCAACAAGACGUUCAUUCAUACAGAGGAAAUCAAAAUCAGGUUAGAAUUGUCAGUUGGUGACCCAUAUUCCAUUGGGGCUUGAUAGCUCAUCUUGGUCCAAGUCUUUAGUCUAAUGGUCAUAAACACCAAGGAGAAUGCUCUAAAUGUGAAGUACGCUCGAUUCUAUCAGAACCUAUUAUAAGUAUCGACAAGUCAUCUACCUUUACUCUUGGAUGGGCACGGUUAAUGCAGUUUAAUUGCCCGUGGUGAAAGGAUUGGACGGGUUCUGAGAAGGGGUUUAAGUGCCAGUAGUGGUGUUUGCUUCCUUUUAUUUGCUGCGGCUGCAGCUGUUGAAGGGAAGGGCUUACUGUUCUUUUUGGUGCAUUCUGAUUCCUACUGGUGUAGCCUGGGUUUCUUCUCAUUUCUAGGAUAAAUUUCAAUCCUACUUUAUUUAACUUUUUAUAGCUCUUCGCUGCUUAGCAGCAAAUUUUUACUUGUACUAUGUAAUACGACGAGAAUGAGUACCUGGUAUAUGUUGCAAUCCAAUGUCUCAUGUUUCCACCAGCUGUGGAACUGGAACUCUGUAGAAUUCAAAUAAAUUUUGUGCUAAUGUAGCGGAAAAAGAGAGAAUGUUACCCAGCAGCUUAAUAUUUCUUUUAGUUAUAAUGUAAAUUUCAUUGAUGCCUGGAGAAACUCUUGUAUGCAAAAAGCAGGGAACUUACAUUAAAAUGUGGUUCUCUAAAAAAAGGCUCCCAAUCUUCUAUCCAAACUGAAACAGGGACUGCAUGGAUGUACC